AUACGGAGGGUGCAAGCGUUACUCGGAAUCACUGGGCGUAAAGCGCGCGUAGGCGGCUUGAUAAGUUGGAUGUGAAAGCCUACGGCUCAACCGUAGAACUGCAUCCAAAACUGUCAGGCUAGAGUGUGGGAGAGGCAGAUGGAAUUAGUUGUGUAGGGGUAAAAUCCGUAGAGAUAACUAGGAAUACCAAAAGCGAAGGCAAUCUUCUGGAACACUACUGACGCUGAGGCGCGAAGGCGUGGGGAGCAAACAGGAUUAGAAACCCCAGUAGUCC
This 274-nucleotide ribosomal RNA is filed under the name uncultured bacterium. Its description in RNAcentral is "partial 16S ribosomal RNA". It matches the Rfam family "Bacterial small subunit ribosomal RNA", at positions 523 to 796 of the family's 1533-position model. The record is from RNAcentral.